AACGAAGUGAAUUGAAAUAUCUUAGUAACUUUAGGAAAAGAAAUCAAACGAGAUUGUUAUUUGGUGCAAACUAAAUAACAAGAGCCUAUUAACAAAACUUGUUAAAGUAAAAUGGAUUAAAAUCUGUUUGAAUAUAGGGGAACCUUCCUCUAAGGCUAAAUAUGAUAUAUAAGCGAUAGUGAAAAGUACCGUGAGGUAAAAUUUGAAAUAGUAGUUUUAUAAGCAGCUCGAGUGAAAAUUUAAAUAAGUAAUAAGAGUGUACCUUUUGCAUAAUGGGUCAGCAAGUUAAUUUUAGAUGCAAGCAAUGAUUUCGUGCGCUUUGCGCAUGGAACUAGCUUAGAUAAACCAAUUAUGAGAAAAUGAAUAAGUAUCUAGAAUUAGACCCGAAGGCUAGUGAUCUUACCAUGGUCAGGAUUAUAAAAGUCCGAACGGGUUAUCGUUGUAUAGAUAUCCGAAGAAUUGUGGUAAGUUAGUGAAAGACAAAACUGACUAGUAUAGCUGGUUUUCCGCGAAACCUAUAUGAGUAGGUAAUUUAACUAACAUCUUAGCAGGUACAGAACUGUGAUCUCGGACAAUAUCUUUUGAUUUUGUCAACAUCGGGGGGUUGUAGUGACUUUACCGGAGAGUAUUUGCACUCGGAAUGGCAAAGAUGAAUGUUGAAUAAUCGGACAUAGUGCGAUAAGGUUGUAUGUCUAAAGGGAAACAGCCCAGAACAAGAGUUAAGGUUCCAAAAUUAUUGUUGAGUGAAAUUAAGGAUGUUUUUUUUAAAAACAAUCAGGAAAUAGGCUUAGAAGCGGCCAUUUUUUGAAGACCUCGUAACAGAGCACUGAUUAAUUAAAUUUAGAAAAAAACACCGAAAAUUUAACGGAUCUAAACAAUAUACCGAAACCUUGUACACAUAUUUAUAAUAUUAAUAUUGUAUAUGUGGGGUAGCGGAACAUUGGAUAAAUAUUAAUUAUUAUUUCUUCUAAGAAGUAAUAAGUAUGGAUUAUUAUUAAAAAUAUUUAUUUAUUAAAGAUAUUUAUGUAAUAUUAUUAUACCUAAAAGGUAUAAUGUUUAGAUGAAUAUAUAGAUAGAUUAUAUCUGUCUUUAUUAUUAAUAUAAUCCAUCGAUAUAAUCCAAGAGAGAAUGCUGACAUGAGUAACGAAAAAGGAAUAUCCUCGCCUUAAGCUUAUGGUAUUAUAUUUAAUUUUCGGUAUCUAAAAGUAUUAAUCAAAAGGUAAUUUUGAUGAUAUUUAUAUAUAAAUACUUAAAAAUAAAAAACAAAACCUUUAACAAGUAAUAAAGGUUCUGGAAAAUUUUUUAUUUUUAUUAAGUGAAGUAUAAUGCAAUAUAGGUAUAUUAUAAUUUAUAUAAUUUUCUUGUUACAAGUUUUCAAGAUUGUAUAGAUUUUAUCUAUAUUAAAUAUAUUUUCUUUUUUAUACUAUUGUAUAAGUAAGGUUUAUAUAUACCGUACCUAGAUACUAUCACAAGUAAGCAAGUAGAGAAUACAAAGGCGUUUGAGUGAACAAUCAUUAAGGAACUCGGCAAAUUGACUACCGUAACUUCGGGAUAAGGAGGGCCAUUAUGAUUAGUUUAACAUAUCUUAUGAUAUGAUUUAAUUAAACUAAUCAUAAGAGGAAACAUGAAAUAAUGUUGUACGACUGUUUAAUAAAAACACAGCACUCUGCAAAGAUAAAAUAUCAAAGUAUUGAGUGUGAUGUCUGCCCAAUGUCGGCUGGGUAACGGAUUUACCUUGGUUUUUAACUGAGGUUUUGAAGGAUACCCCGAUUAAUGGCGGCCUUACCUAUGAGGGUCCUAAGGUAGCGAAAUACCUUGGCCGUUAAAUGCGGUCCUGCAUGAAUGACUUAACGAUACAACAGCUGUCUCGAUGAUUGUCUCAGUGAAAUUGGAAUAGCAGUGCAGAUACUGUUUACCUCUAGAUAGACGAGAAGACCCUAUGCAGCUUUACUGUUACUAAUUGCAAGAGUGGAAAUUUAGGAUGAUUUCGAGUGUAUAAGGUAGUUGUUUGAUAACAAUGAAACACCUUUAUUCGUUUCCUACUAUAUGCUCUUGAGGAUUGGGAGGCAGUUUAUGCGGGGCACAGAUCCCACAAAAAGUACCUGGGUAUAUCCAAAGUUCAUUUUGUAAAUUUGUAAAUUUCUUUACAAAUAUUUUAAUUUGUUAUAAUUAUAUUCAUAAUUAUACAGUUAUUGUUAGAUUAAGUUCAAUAUUUAUUUUUUAUUUAAGUAAGAUUUUAACUAUAUGGUGAAUAGAUGUAUUUUAAACUUUACCCGGGGAGGGAGUGAUCCAACUCCGGGAUAUUUAAAAGUUUUUUCUCAUAUUAAUAUUGUAUUUUAUCUUUAUUGAUAUGAUAAUUAAUUAUACUUUAAAAGUUUAAUGGCUAAAUCUUGCUUUACUGUUUGACCUACAAGUCUAUCAGUCGCGUAAGCGGGGCAUAUGAUCACAAGAUGCAUAAAGGAAAGGUCUUGGAUUAACAGGCUAAUUUGCGCAAGAGAGUACAAAUUGAGUGCGCGGUUUGGCACCUCGAUGUCGGCUUAGCUCAUCCACAUGAAUGCAAAAAUCAUGAAGGGUUCGACUGUUCGUCGAUUAAAGAGCUACAUGAGCUGGGUUUAAUACGUCGUGAGACAGUAUGGUUUCUAUCUUCUAGAGGGAAUUAAAGUAGAAUAAAGAUAGCCCCUUCGUACGAAAGGAGUUGGGUAUAUUGACCUAUGGUUUACCUGUUGUUUAUGUUAUAUAUUAUUAUACAUAAUAUAUCAUUUACUUAUACUUAAGUAAAUUGUUCACAUAGGCAUGGCAGGAAGGCUACGUCAGUUAAAGAUAAGUGCUGAAAGCAUUUAAGCGCGAAGCUUACUUUAGGAUACUUUUAAACGUAGUAGAACACUACGAGUAUAAUUGUUAUAUACCCUUCGGGGUUCUAAUGAUUAAUAGGCUUUAGUUGUACUAAUCUUAACAUUUUUAGACAUAAAGU
RNAcentral lists this ribosomal RNA (2971 nucleotides) under Aspergillus terricola. RNAcentral's name for it is "large subunit ribosomal RNA". It matches the Rfam family "Bacterial large subunit ribosomal RNA". The record is from RNAcentral. Lineage: Eukaryota; Fungi; Ascomycota; Eurotiomycetes; Eurotiales; Aspergillaceae.